This 1012-nucleotide long non-coding RNA is filed under the name Gopherus agassizii (Agassiz's desert tortoise). RNAcentral describes it as "lncRNA (ENSGAGG00000023750.1)". Lineage: Eukaryota; Metazoa; Chordata; Testudines; Testudinidae. The record is from RNAcentral.
CGGUAGGCGGAGCAGCUGUUCAGGGCCGGGCUGAGGAAGCGCCCGGUGGCCGGGGCGCUCCCGGGGAAGCCCCCGGGGACCAGCGGGGGGCUGUAGGGCAGGCUCAGCGGGCAGCCCUCCGGAGCCGGGGCGUCGGGGAAGUAGAACCGCUCCGGGACGCCCAUCUUCAGCUCGGCCGGCUCCUUGGCCCCCGGCAGAUCCAGCGGCUCCUUGGCAAAACUUUGGCUGUCGGUGCCAUUCAGCAUGGUGAGCGCGGGGCUGCUGGCUCCGGAGGCUGGGUCCAGGGCUCCCANCCAGGGCUCCCUUCGACUUGCCAGGCGAGGGGGGGGGGGGGUGUUUGCGGGGGGGGGAAGAUCAGCCCCCUCCCCUGCCUCAGCAACUCAUCCGGGUCGUGCAAAAAAAUAAAAUCAAAAGCGAGACCCCCGCCGGGCACCAAACUCUGGGCUGCGCUCGCCCCGCAGCUCCCGGCCCGACUUCAGCGGCGGCUGAGUCCGUUUCACACGUUUCACACGCGGGGCCGGGGCUCCAUCGCCGGGCCGGGCACGCCAGGAGCAAAGGCAGCAGAACCCCCCCUGCCCCCGGCCAAGCUCGGUUUGUACAAAAUCCUUCUAACUAAAGAGCCCGCUGGGUUCCAGGGGGCGGGGGGGAGUUUCCCCCGACACCUCCCCUCUUUCCAAGGGUCACCCGAAGGGGGGGGAUUUCCCCCCACUCCUGGGAGCUGCCUCGUCUGCCCCGCUCCGUCACUCCACCUGCUCCAUCCUCUGCCUCCAAGAGCCACUCUGGCCUCCCUCUUAUUAAAAGCAGCGGCACUUGGGGCUGCGAGGCUCCGCCUCCUCCCGUGAUGGCCACGCCCCCUUGGAGGCACCUCCCAUUGUGAACAGGGACUUGGGAUGGGGGAGAGGGACUGUCCAGCCAGAGGGGAAAAGGGAAUUUAGGGCCCCGAUCCUGCCAGGACAGAUGCAUGUGCUCCACUAGACUCAUAGACUCAUAGAACAUCAGGGUUGGAAGGGAC